Molecule: ribosomal RNA, 466 nt
Filed under: uncultured bacterium
Lineage: Bacteria
Description: bacterial SSU rRNA
Rfam family: Bacterial small subunit ribosomal RNA
Source: RNAcentral
CCUACGGGUGGCUGCAGUGGGGAAUCUUCCGCAAUGGGCGAAAGCCUGACGGAGCGAUGCCGCGUGAGUGAAGAAGGCCUUCGGGUUGUAAAACUCUGUCCUAAGGGAAGAAAGUACUUUAUGUGAAUAAUGUAGAGUACUGACGGUACCUUAGGAGGAAGCCCCGGCUAACUACGUGCCAGCAGCCGCGGUAACACGUAGGGGGCGAGCGUUGUCCGGAAUUACUGGGCGUAAAGCGCGCGUAGGCGGACAUUUAAGUCAGAUGUGAAAACUCUGGGCUCAACCUAGAGCAUGCAUCUGAUACUGGAUGUCUUGAGUGUAGGAGAGGAGAGUGGAAUUCCUAGUGUAGCGGUGAAAUGCGUAGAUAUUAGGAGGAACACCAGUGGCGAAGGCGACUCUCUGGACUAUAACUGACGCUGAGGCGCGAAAGCGUGGGGAGCAAACAGGAUUAGAUACCCGAGUAGUC